GACGAACGCUGGCGGCGUGCUUAACACAUGCAAGUCGAACGGUGAAGCGCUUUCCUUUUUGGUUGGUGUGGAUGAGUGGCGAACGGGUGAGUAACACGUGAGUAACCUGCCCCCUUCUUCUGGAUAACCGCAUGAAAGUGUGGCUAAUACGGGAUAUUCUGCGCCUGCUGCAUGGUGGGUGUGGGAAAGAUUGUGCCUUUGGGUGUUUUCGGUGGGGGAUGGGCUCGCGGCCUAUCAGCUUGUUGGUGGGGUGAUGGCCUACCAAGGCGGUGACGGGUAGCCGGCCUGAGGGGGUGGACGGUCACACUGGGACUGAGACACGGCCCAGACUCCUACGGGAGGCAGCAGUGGGGGAUAUUGCACAAUGGGGGCAAGCCUGAUGCAGCGACGCCGCGUGAGGGAUGGAGGCCUUCGGGGUGUGAACCUCUUUCGCCAGUGAAGCAGGCCUGCUCCUUGUGGGUGGGUUGACGGUAGCUGGAUAAGAAGCGCCGGCUAACUACGUG
RNAcentral lists this ribosomal RNA (503 nucleotides) under uncultured bacterium. RNAcentral describes it as "partial 16S ribosomal RNA". It matches the Rfam family "Bacterial small subunit ribosomal RNA", at positions 28 to 507 of the family's 1533-position model. The record is from RNAcentral.